GAGUAACGCGUAGGUAAUCUACCCUUAUAUCUGGGAUAACCGACCGAAAGGUUGGCUAAUACCGGAUACCCUUUAUGUAUCGCGAGUUAUAUAGAGGAAAGGUGACCUCUGAUCAAGUUACCGUAUAGGGAUGAGCCUGCGUACCAUUAGCUAGUUGGUGGGGUAAAGGCCUACCAAGGCUACGAUGGUUAGCGGGUCUGAGAGGAUGAUCCGCCACACUGGAACUGGAACACGGACCAG
This 240-nucleotide ribosomal RNA is filed under the name uncultured bacterium. Its description in RNAcentral is "partial 16S ribosomal RNA". It matches the Rfam family "Bacterial small subunit ribosomal RNA", at positions 108 to 334 of the family's 1533-position model. The record is from RNAcentral.